This is a non-coding RNA of Hippocampus comes (tiger tail seahorse), 448 nucleotides long. NCBI's taxonomy places the organism in Eukaryota, Metazoa, Chordata, Actinopteri, Syngnathiformes, Syngnathidae. The record is from the annotation of a RefSeq genome assembly.
AAACUUGCAGUGAGGCUCUCGCAGGAGACACGCUCCCAUCAGGACACCCUCAGCUGCAACCAUGUUCCAUGUCGUUGCGCUGGUGUUGCUGGCCGCUGCUUCCAGCGUCAAGUGCGAACAGUUGACCCAGCCGCCGUCUGUGACUCUGCGGUCCGGUCAGGAGUUAAACAUCGCCUGUCAGGUGUCUUAUUCGUUAAGCAGCUACUACACUGCGUGGGUCAGGCAGGCGGCUGGGAAAGGACUGGAAUGGAUCGGGAUGAGAUUCACUGGGGCCUAUUACCGCAAGGAUUCCCUGAGUAGCAAGUUCAGUAUUGAACUCGACCCCUCCAGCCAAACCGUAACCCUGAAUGGACAGAAUAUGCAGCCUGAAGACACGGCUGUGUAUUACUGCGCCAGACAAACACAACAAUAAAAACCAUCAGGAGACCUGAACAAAAAGCUAACAAUA